This 484-nucleotide ribosomal RNA is filed under the name uncultured bacterium. RNAcentral's name for it is "partial 16S ribosomal RNA". It matches the Rfam family "Bacterial small subunit ribosomal RNA", at positions 899 to 1397 of the family's 1533-position model. The record is from RNAcentral.
ACUCAAAGGAAUUGACGGGGACCCGCACAACCAGUGGAGCGUGUGGUUCAAUUCGAGACGAAGCGAAAAACCUCACCAGGGUUUGACAUGCAACUGCAAAUCUUAUGAAAGUAAGACUCUUUCGAAGGUGUUGCACAGGUGCUGCAUGGCUGUCGUCAGCUCGUGCCGUGAGGUGUUCCCUUAAGUGGGGAAACGAGCGCAACCCGUGUGAAAUGUUACAUAUUCAUUUCAGACUGCUCUGUUUUUUCAGAGAGGAAGGAGCGGAAGACGUCAAGUCAGCACGGCCCUUAUACCCUGGGCUACACACACCCUACAAUGGCGAAAAACAACGAGCCGCAAGUCAGUGAUGGCAAGCUAAUCUCUGAAAUUUCGCCUCAGUUCAGAUUGGAGUCUGAAAUUCGACUCCAUGAAGUCGGAAUUGGUAGUAAUCGCGGAUCAGCAGGCCGCGGUGAAUACGUUCUCGGGUCUUGUACACACCGCCCGU